RNAcentral lists this ribosomal RNA (786 nucleotides) under Triticum aestivum (bread wheat). Its description in RNAcentral is "partial small subunit ribosomal RNA". The record is from RNAcentral. Lineage: Eukaryota; Viridiplantae; Streptophyta; Magnoliopsida; Poales; Poaceae.
AUGCAUAUCUCUGUCAGGGAAGAUGGAAGCAGAACUCUCAGGACUAUACGGUCACGACCUAGAUGUUUCCUUCAAAAUCUAUCAUCUUCAGUUGGUCAUGUGAAGAACAACGAUUGGUCACAUGGUAGUAAUCCAUUAGCCUAUUGGCACCAGACAACAACUGACACUUGUCAAACUAAGCUUAAUCACUUGCUGCUACAUCCAACCUGUUUUCUUGUAUUUAAGGCAAGUAUUGCACAUGAUUUAGCGAAGCAAAUUAGACUAGCAGCAAAAAAGGAAGAGCGAGAGCUUACUGUCAUUCGCAUGGCGACCUCGAUCAUGGCUUCUAUGGCUCUGAAAUCAUCUCCAUCGCCAUUUUCUGGGCAGUCGCAGCUCCAGCGCAUCCAGCCUUCAGCACGAUCAUCAUCUUUCAGAGUAAUGUCCAAAAAGGCAAAGAAAGUUCAGACUUCUCAGCCUUUCGGGCCCGGGGGAGGAUUGGAACUGAAAGAUGGUGUUGAUGCAUCUGGAAGGCUAGCCAAGGGGAAGGGCGUCUACCAGUUUGCCAGCAAGUAUGGAGCAAAUGUUGAUGGGGCAGCCCAAUAUAUAACCCAGAAGAAUGGUCUCCAAGUGGUGACUACUAUGCGGGAGGAAAGACAUGGUUGUUGCUCUGGGUGGCUACUCUUGCUGGAAUUCUGCUGGGUGGUGCUCUGCUUGUUUACAAUACUAGUGCUUUGGCUUCUUGAAGCCUGGUAUCGGAAACCAGAUUAUGUACCAUGCAAGGAUUUACAUCAUCUAGGUAUAUUGUAG